This 497-nucleotide ribosomal RNA is filed under the name uncultured bacterium. RNAcentral's name for it is "partial 16S ribosomal RNA". It matches the Rfam family "Bacterial small subunit ribosomal RNA", at positions 28 to 507 of the family's 1533-position model. The record is from RNAcentral.
GAUGAACGCUGGCGGCGUGCCUAAUACAUGCAAGUCGAGCGAACAGACGAGGAGCUUGCUCCUCUGACGUUAGCGGCGGACGGGUGAGUAACACGUGGAUAACCUACCUAUAAGACUGGGAUAACUUCGGGAAACCGGAGCUAAUACCGGAUAAUAUAUUGAACCGCAUGGUUCAAUAGUGAAAGACGGUUUUGCUGUCACUUAUAGCUGGAUCCGCGCCGCAUUAGGUAGUUGGUAAGGUAACGGGUUACCAAUGCAACGAUGCGGAGCCGCCCUGAGAGGGUGAGCGGCCACACUGGAACUGGGACACGGUCCAGACUCCUACGGGAGGCAGCAGUAGGGAAUCUUCCGCAAUGGGCGAAAGCCUGACGGAGCAACGCCGCGUGAGUGAUGAAGGUCUUCGGAUCGUAAAACUCUGUUAUUAGGGAAGAACAAAUGUGUAAGUAACUAUGCACGUCUUGACGGUACCUAAUCAGAAAGCCACGGCUAACUACGUG